This 25-nucleotide transfer RNA is filed under the name Celtis iguanaea. RNAcentral's name for it is "partial tRNA-His". The record is from RNAcentral. Lineage: Eukaryota; Viridiplantae; Streptophyta; Magnoliopsida; Rosales; Cannabaceae.
GGCGGAGAGCAGAAGCAUGAAUGGC